GUGCUCACUUCGGCAGCACGUAUACUAAAAUAGGAACGAUACAGAGAAGAUUAGCAUGGCCCCGUGUAAAGAUGGCAUGCAAAGUCAUGAAGCGCUCAACAUUUUC
This is a small nuclear RNA of Nycticebus coucang (slow loris), 106 nucleotides long. Lineage: Eukaryota; Metazoa; Chordata; Mammalia; Primates; Lorisidae. The record is from RefSeq and is a predicted model, not a curated record.